This is a non-coding RNA of Candidatus Synechococcus spongiarum 15L, 55 nucleotides long. The record is from Rfam. Lineage: Bacteria; Bacillati; Cyanobacteriota; Cyanophyceae; Synechococcales; Synechococcaceae.
GUAGAAUGUCAGCUUCCCAAGCUGAACGUCGCCGGUUCGAGUCCGGUCACCCGCU